Molecule: long non-coding RNA, 99 nt
Organism: Lepidothrix coronata (blue-crowned manakin)
Lineage: Eukaryota; Metazoa; Chordata; Aves; Passeriformes; Pipridae
Exons: 3
Source: RefSeq, a predicted model, not a curated record
UUAGACUGGUCAAGCAGUAUUAUAAAAUGUAAUAUCUCAGGCACAGCCUGUGCGCGCAUCCUGUAACAUCUAUGCCUUGGCACAAAUUAAACCCUUUCC